RNAcentral lists this ribosomal RNA (1175 nucleotides) under uncultured bacterium. RNAcentral describes it as "bacterial SSU rRNA". It matches the Rfam family "Bacterial small subunit ribosomal RNA", at positions 232 to 1399 of the family's 1533-position model. The record is from RNAcentral.
CGCGGUGCAUUAGCUAGAUGGUAAGGUAACGGCUUACCAUGGCCAUGAUGCAUAGCCGACCUGAGAGGGUGAUCGGCCACAUUGGGACUGAGACACGGCCCAAACUCCUACGGGAGGCAGCAGUAGGGAAUCUUCCGCGAUGGACGCAAGUCUGACGGAGCAACGCCGCGUGUGUGAAGAAGGUCUUCGGAUCGUAAAGCACUGUUGUUAGAGAAGAACACCCGGUAGAGUAACUGCUACCGGACUGACGGUAUCUAACCAGAAAGCCACGGCUAACUACGUGCCAGCAGCCGCGGUAAUACGUAGGUGGCAAGCGUUGUCCGGAUUUAUUGGGCGUAAAGGGAGCGCAGGUGGUGACUUAAGUCUGAUGUGAAAGCCCACGGCUCAACCGUGGAGGGUCAUUGGAAACUGGGUCACUUGAGUACAGAAGAGGAAAGUGGAAUUCCAUGUGUAGCGGUGAAAUGCGUAGAUAUAUGGAGGAACACCAGUGGCGAAGGCGACUUUCUGGUCUGUGACUGACGCUGAGGCGCGAAAGCGUGGGGAGCAAACAGGAUUAGGUACCCUGGUAGUCCACGCCGUAAACGAUGAUUACUGGGUGUAGGGGGUAUCGACUCCCUCUGUGCCGAAGCUAACGCGAUAAGUAAUCCACCUGGGGAGUACGGCCGCAAGGCUAAAACUCAAAGGAAUUGACGGGGGCCCGCACAAGCAGCGGAGCAUGUGGUUUAAUUCGAAGCAACGCGAAGAACCUUACCAGGUCUUGACAUCCAGUUAAAGCUGUAGAGAUACAGUGUGCCUUCGGGCGAACUGAGACAGGUGGUGCAUGGUUGUCGUCAGCUCGUGUCGUGAGAUGUUGGGUUAAGUCCCGCAACGAGCGCAACCCUUGCUGAUAGUUACUAACGAGUGAAGUUGAGGACUCUAUCGGGACCGCCGGGGACAACUCGGAGGAAGGUGGGGACGACGUCAAAUCAUCAUGCCCCUUAUGACCUGGGCUACACACGUGCUACAAUGGCCGAGACAGAGGGAAGCGAAGGCGCGAGCCGGAGCGGAUCCCAAAAAAGCGGUCACAGUUCGGAUUGUGGGCUGCAACCCGCCCACAUGAAGCAGGAGUUGCUAGUAAUCGCGAAUCAGCAUGUCGCGGUGAAUACGUUCCCGGGCCUUGUACACACCGCCCGUCA